RNAcentral lists this ribosomal RNA (253 nucleotides) under uncultured bacterium. RNAcentral's name for it is "partial 16S ribosomal RNA". It matches the Rfam family "Bacterial small subunit ribosomal RNA", at positions 524 to 776 of the family's 1533-position model. The record is from RNAcentral.
UACGGAGGGGGCUAGCGUUGUUCGGAAUUACUGGGCGUAAAGAGCUCGUAGGUGGUUUGUCGCGUUGUUCGUGAAAACUCACAGCUCAACUGUGGGCGUGCGGGCGAUACGGGCAGACUGGAGUACUGCAGGGGAGACUGGAAUUCCUGGUGUAGCGGUGGAAUGCGCAGAUAUCAGGAGGAACACCCGUGGCGAAGGCGGCUCUCUGGGACGGUACUGACACUGAGACGCGAAAGCGUGGGGAGCGAACAGG